This 1377-nucleotide long non-coding RNA is filed under the name Elaeis guineensis (African oil palm). RNAcentral's name for it is "long non-coding RNA (EGUI_LNC036472)". Lineage: Eukaryota; Viridiplantae; Streptophyta; Magnoliopsida; Arecales; Arecaceae. The record is from RNAcentral.
AGAACAGAGAUGACAAUCAAGCUUUUACUCUCUGUAAUAUAGAGACAUCAUUCUUGAUUAAGAGAAUUUUAUUCAAACAACACAAAGAAUAUUUUUACAGAAUUAAUAGUCCAUUUGUACAUACAGGAUUCUACUUCAUUCUCAAUGAAAUCAUACAUUCAAAACAUAUGUUCCAACUCUGAGAAAUUGAUUCAAUCGAAUGGAUUUGAAGAUGGCCACAACAAAAAUUUUUCAUCAUAGUCAACACUAUAACUUUGAUGAAAUCUUUUGGUAAUCAGACAGAAUUAAUAAGUCUCUACCUUUUCAUUUGCACCUCUUAUCUGUCUAAAAUUCACUCACACCUUAUGGGUGUUACCCAUUUAGGUGAAUCAACGAAUGUCCAUACAUCGUUGAUCUUUAUGGACUCUAUUUCAGAUUUAAUAGCUCUAAACCACUUCUCAAAGUUAGAUCCCUGUAUUAUAUCCGUAUGGAAGAUCAAAUCUCUAUCCUGAACCUAGAAAUCAAAGUAUCUGUUCGGCUAAUAUGGUACUCAACCAUAUCUACUCAAGGAUGCCUUUACAUCGGACUUUGAAAUUGAUCUAAUCUACUCUAGUUCUCUUGAUUUGUAGCAGAGUCGGUUCCUCUACCUAUCAAGCUUCAUCAAGCUUGCUCUUAACAGUAUCAGUUCCUUCACUAAGAAACUUCUUUUUCAAAAAAAAUAUCUUAAGAUUCAUGAACAUCUCAUAUCCAUCAGUAAGGUAGAUGAAAUAUUUUUAAUAUAAUAUUUAUCAGAUCAAAAUCCAAACUAAUCGAUUUUCGAAUAUUUCACAUAAAUUCGACACCCCCAACGUUAAAGUAAGAGAGUAUUGAAUUAUCUAAGUCCAUAUCUCAUAUGAAGUUUUGGUGAUCAAUUUGCUCAGAACCUUCUCGAGCACAUAUCAAGUAGUCUCUAAUACAUAACCUCGGACAGACCAGUAAACCUCACAGUGGAUCAAACUAUGUUUAACAAAAUUUAAUAAUUUUUUUCAGACAUCGUUUUUAAAUAGUGAUGUUUCAAGAGAGAUCCAUUAAGAAAGAAUCUAAUUUUCUCUAAGACAUAUCAAAAUUUACUGUAAAGGUAUUCACUUCAUCAGUCAAAUCGAUAAAUUUUAAUACUCUUUGCAAUUUAUUUUUCUACCUCAUUACAAAAUUAUUUGAAUAUUUCAAUCGAUUCGGAUUUGUGCUUCAUAAGUAAGAUGCACUCAUGCCAAAAUAGAUCGUCAAAGAUUUUAAUGAAGUAGCAGGCCCUCUUCUGGCACUUAUGUUCAUGAGUGCAAAUACAUCAAUAUGUAUCAAACUCAGAACAUUUCUGGCUCAUACAUCCUUUUCAAUAAAAGGUGACUAAGUUAAUUAUGCCAA